RNAcentral lists this ribosomal RNA (484 nucleotides) under uncultured bacterium. RNAcentral describes it as "partial 16S ribosomal RNA". It matches the Rfam family "Bacterial small subunit ribosomal RNA", at positions 29 to 507 of the family's 1533-position model. The record is from RNAcentral.
AUUGAACGCUGGCGGCAUGCUUUACACAUGCCAGUCGAACGGCAGCGCGGGCUUCGGCCUGGCGGCGAGUGGCGAACGGGUGAGUAAUACAUCGGAACGUGCCCAGUAGUGGGGGAUAGCUCGGCGAGAGCCGGAUUAAUACCGCAUACGACCUGAGGGUGAAAGCGGGGGAUCUUCGGACCUCGCGCUAUUGGAGCGAGCGAUGGCAGAUUAGCUAGUUGGUGGGGUAAAUGCCUACCAAGGCGACGAUCGGUAGCUGGUCUGAGAGGAAGACCAGCCACAUUGGGACUGAGACACGGCCCAGACUCCUACGGGAGGAAGCAGUGGGGAAUUUUGGACAAUGGGCGAAAGCCUGAUCCAGCAAUGCCGCGUGUGUGAUGAAGGCCUUCGGGUUGUAAAGCACUUUUGGCGGGAACGAAAAGGACUGUGCUAAUACCACGGUUCGAUGACGGUACCCGCAGAAUAAGCACCGGCUAACUACGUG